GACGAACGCUGGCGGCGUGCUUAACACAUGCAAGUCGAGCGAUGAAGUUUUUUCGGAAAUGGAUUAGCGGCGAACGGGUGAGGAACACGUGAAGAAUCUGCCCUCCACUUUGGGAUAACACAGGGAAACCUGUGCUAAUACCGAAUAUUGAAACAUAAGUGGCAUCACUGAGUUUUGAAAGAAUUUCGGUGGAGGAUGACUUCGCGGCCUAUCAGCUAGUUGGUGAGGUAAUGGCUCACCAAGGCAACGACGGGUAGCCGGCCUGAGAGGGCGACCGGACACACUGGGACUGAGACACGGCCCAGACUCCUACGGGAGGCAGCAGUGGGUAAUAUUGGGCAAUGGAGGAAACUCUGACCCAGCGACGCCGCGUGCGGGAUGAAGGCCUUCGGGUUGUAAACCGCUUUCAGUAGGGAAGAAGCGAAAGUGACGGUACCUACAAAAGAAGCACCGGCUAACUAUGUGCCAGCAGCCGCAGUAA
Molecule: ribosomal RNA, 481 nt
Filed under: uncultured bacterium
Lineage: Bacteria
Description: partial 16S ribosomal RNA
Rfam family: Bacterial small subunit ribosomal RNA
Source: RNAcentral